RNAcentral lists this unclassified non-coding RNA (140 nucleotides) under uncultured Ascomycota. RNAcentral describes it as "sequence contains ITS1". The record is from RNAcentral. Lineage: Eukaryota; Fungi; Ascomycota.
CAUUCAGUAGCCUAGCUACUUGUUUAUACCCUUGUUUUUUGCGUACCUAUUGUUUCCUCGGCGGGCUUGCUCGCCGGUUGGACAAAACCUAUAACCUUUUUUAAAUCUUCAAUCAGCGUCUGAAUGAAAUAUAAUAAUUA